AAGGCUUCAGCACGACCCAGUCAGAACUAUAAGUCUCAAAGCCCCGACGAGUAGGGUGGCGUGCCGGUGCGCGUUGAAGGCCAAGACGUGAGUCAGGCUGGAGCCGCCGGUAGUGCAGAUCUUGGUGGUAGUAGCAAGUACUCUGGUGAACCAACCUGGAGCUGUGAGGUCUGGAUUAGGGUUCCAUGUCAACAGUGAUUGAACAUGGGUGAGUCGAUCCUAAGCCAACUGUGAAAGCAGUGACAUCCCGACAAAGGGCCACUACAUGUGAGGCACUUACACCCCCAAAGCAAAGCUCUCGUAUUGCUCUCUCUCUCUCUGACGAUAUGGUGUCUGGUACGGAAUAUGAGCGCGCACACACGAUGAUCACGACAAAUCCGUGAGAGUGUGUGCGCGAGCACGCAAUGGUCUGGUUACGGAAUAUAAGCAAAAGCGAGCACACACGAUGAUCACCCCGUGAGAGUGUGUGUGCACGCCAUGGUCUGGUUACGCUCAAAAGCGUUGUUGCUCGAGGAUAAACGAUAAAGCAUAAAACGAGAGAGAGAAACGGAGUGGGUGAGCGUGAGUGUUGCUCAUUGAAUGAGCACCCUGCGUCUGGUUCUAUGUCUGGCGAAAGGGAAUGGGGACUUUGUUCCUUGACCGGUCCUGGCACCCUCGAUUGGCUUUGCCAAUUAAUGGUCCAUGCAAAUGGAACCAGGCCACAGCCGUCGGCAGUCGCCCGAGGAAGAGUUUUCUUUUCUGCUUAACGCACGAGGUCAUUCCUGGAAACAGUUCGGCUGGCGAAAGGGUGCCCCGCUGCGGCAGAGCGCCACGACUGUCGUGCGCGUCUCGGUGUUCCUGCUGAUCCGUGAAGACGUGGUCGAGGGGAUUGCUCUUGUAUCAACGAAACGCCCGACAAGUUCGGGACGGACCGUACCCUAUAUCCGCAUCUGGUCUCCAAGGUUCGUAGCCUCUGCAGAGUCAGACACAUGUAGGUAAGGGAAGUCGGCAAACUCGAUCCGUAACUUCGGGAAAAGGAUUGGCUCUGAGGGCCGAGCUGGGCCGGGCCUUGCCUGCAAAGCAGUACCUAUAGUGACCGGAGUUUUAGGAGUGCGAGGGGCUCUAGUAGCUGCUUGUGCGUGUGUGCGUUCGCGCGUGCACGCGUGUGGGCACGAACGAGUCCACCGCUCCGCUCCAACCACGAACGGCUGUGACGGCAAGGGCUCUGGGCGGGAGCGAUCGAUCCGUUGGCCUCCAGCUUGUCUGGUUGGCGGCGGUGCUCUGUCUGACCCAUACGGCUCCAGCGGCUAGCGGCUAACUCAG
RNAcentral lists this ribosomal RNA (1302 nucleotides) under Niphargus sp. ND331. Its description in RNAcentral is "partial large subunit ribosomal RNA". It matches the Rfam family "Eukaryotic large subunit ribosomal RNA", at positions 1337 to 2111 of the family's 3401-position model. The record is from RNAcentral. Lineage: Eukaryota; Metazoa; Arthropoda; Malacostraca; Amphipoda; Niphargidae.